Molecule: ribosomal RNA, 254 nt
Filed under: uncultured bacterium
Lineage: Bacteria
Description: partial 16S ribosomal RNA
Rfam family: Bacterial small subunit ribosomal RNA
Source: RNAcentral
UACAGAGGUCUCAAGCGUUGUUCGGAAUUACUGGGCGUAAAGGGCUCGUAGGCGGCCAACUAAGUCAGACGUGAAAUCCCUCGGCUUAACCGGGGAACUGCGUCUGAUACUGGAUGGCUUGAGUUUGGGAGAGGGAUGCGGAAUUCCAGGUGUAGCGGUGAAAUGCGUAGAUAUCUGGAGGAACACCGGUGGCGAAGGCGGCAUCCUGGACCAACACUGACGCUGAGUGAGCGAAAGCCAGGGGAGCAAACGGG